Molecule: ribosomal RNA, 816 nt
Filed under: Serpula himantioides
Lineage: Eukaryota; Fungi; Basidiomycota; Agaricomycetes; Boletales; Serpulaceae
Description: partial 18S ribosomal RNA
Rfam family: 5.8S ribosomal RNA (bases 192-346)
Source: RNAcentral
UGCCUGUGAGUUGUGCUGGCCUCUCUCGGGGCAUGUGCACGCUUCAUGGGUCUUCACACAUCCACACCUGUGAACCAAUUGUAGGUCUUUCGGGACCUAUGUCUUCUCAUAACACACUGUAUGUCUAGAAUGUCAUUAUGAUUAUCGUCUGCUUCCUUUGUGGAGUUGGGCUGAUAAGAUAAACAAUAUACAACUUUCAGCAACGGAUCUCUUGGCUCUCGCAUCGAUGAAGAACGCAGCGAAUUGCGAUAUGUAAUGUGAAUUGCAGAUUUUCAGUGAAUCAUCGAAUCUUUGAACGCACCUUGCGCUCCUUGGUAUUCCGAGGAGCAUGCCUGUUUGAGUGUCAUUAAAUUCUCAACCCCAUCGAUUUGUUUCGGUUGUGGGAUUGGAUUGUGGGGGUUUGCUGGUGGACUUCUUGUCCGUCGGCUCCUCUGAAAUGUAUUAGCAAAGGUUGAUGUGCGAACCAGUGUCUCGGUGUGAUAAUGAUCAUCGUGCCUGACGUGCAGUGUCCUGUGCUUACAGUCGUCGUAAGACAACGUUUUGAACCUUUGACCUCAAAUCAGGUAGGAUUACCCGCUGAACUUAAGCAUAUCAAUAAGCGGAGGAANNCAUUAUCNAUUCAACGAANUGCCUGUGAGUUGUGCUGGCCUCUCUGGGGCAGUGCCACCUUCNGGGGACUNCNAAUCCCACCUGUNAACAAUGUANGUCUUUUCGGAACUANNCUNCUCANAACAACUGUNNGNCUAGNANGUCAUANAUUAUNGNCUGCUUCCNUGUGGAGUUGGGCUGAAAANANAACAUAUACNACUUUCAACA